UACGUAGGGGGCCAGCGUUGUCCGGAAUCAUUGGGCGUAAAGCGCGCGUAGGCGGUCAGGUAAGUCCGGUGUGAAAGUCAAAGGCUCAACCUUUGAAUGCCGCUGGAUACUGCUUGACUUGAGUCCGGAAGGGGCGAGUGGAAUUCCUGGUGUAGCGGUGAAAUGCGCAGAUAUCAGGAGGAACACCGGUGGCGAAGGCGGCAUCCUGGACCGGCAUUGACGCUGAGGCGCGAAAGCCAGGGGAGCAAACGGG
This 253-nucleotide ribosomal RNA is filed under the name uncultured bacterium. Its description in RNAcentral is "partial 16S ribosomal RNA". It matches the Rfam family "Bacterial small subunit ribosomal RNA", at positions 524 to 776 of the family's 1533-position model. The record is from RNAcentral.